Molecule: non-coding RNA, 170 nt
Organism: Pelobates cultripes (western spadefoot toad)
Lineage: Eukaryota; Metazoa; Chordata; Amphibia; Anura; Pelobatidae
Source: the annotation of a GenBank genome assembly
GAGGGGCAGAGUGAGGGGAAUGACUAGUGGGAGAGGGAGGGAGGGAGGUGGUGACUAGUCACCCCUUCCUUCCCUCCCUCUUUCACUAGUCACCCCUUCCUUCCCUCCCUCGCUAGUCACCCCUUCCCUCCCUCCCUCUUUCACUAGUCACCCUUUCCCUCCCUCACUCU